RNAcentral lists this ribosomal RNA (250 nucleotides) under uncultured bacterium. RNAcentral's name for it is "partial 16S ribosomal RNA". It matches the Rfam family "Bacterial small subunit ribosomal RNA", at positions 524 to 772 of the family's 1533-position model. The record is from RNAcentral.
UACGAAGGGUGCAAGCGUUAAUCGGAAUUACUGGGCGUAAAGGGUGCGUAGGCGGUUGUUUAAGUCUGUCGUGAAAUCCCCCGGGCUUAACCUGGGAAUUGCGAUGGAGACUGCAAGGCUAGAAUCUGGCAGAGGGGGGUAGAAUUCCACGUGUAGCAGUGAAAUGCGUAGAGAUGUGGAGGAACACCGAUGGCGAAGGCAGCCCCCUGGGUCAAGAUUGACGCUCAUGCACGAAAGCGUGGGGAGCAAA